RNAcentral lists this long non-coding RNA (1673 nucleotides) under Salmo salar (Atlantic salmon). RNAcentral's name for it is "lncRNA (ENSSSAG00000100711.1)". The record is from RNAcentral. Lineage: Eukaryota; Metazoa; Chordata; Actinopteri; Salmoniformes; Salmonidae.
UGCUGAGAACAAUGACAAUGGAGUGCACGUGCACGAGACGACUCCAUGUUUUUCUUUCAGUGUUUGAAUGAAUACAACGUCGCUAGGUUGGAAUAUUAUCGCUACUUUACGAGAAAAAUAGCAUAAAAAUGUAUUUUAAACAGCGUUUGACAUGCUUUGAAGUACGGUAAUGGAAUAUUUUUUUUUAAAUUGUCACGAAAUGCGCCCGCGCGUCACCCUUCGGAUAGUGACCGCAACGCACGAACAAAACGGAGCUAUUUCAAUAUAACUAUGGAUUAUAUCGAACUAAAACAACAUUUGUUGUUGAAGUAGAAGUCCUGGGAGUGCAUUCUGACGAUGAACAGCAAAGAUACAACAUUGUCAUCUUUGGCGGUAUAGAUGGAUUUUCAAGGAAGAGUGAGAGCUAAUGAAGGGGUCGAAAAUGUAGAUAUUGCCAGAUGUUCACUGUCCGAGGAACAGGCCAUGGAAGCUUUAUUGCUGGCAAAAGUGUCCAUAACCAGAGGUUAAUAUCAGCUGUGUUGGUGAACCCCUCCCGCAUCUGAACUGGCUGACACAGAGGGCACAGUGUGAUCAUAGUAGGUAUGUUUUGAUAUGAGAGAGGAAGCCAGUCCCAUCAUUGCCACCUCACCCGCUCUUAACAUAACCUUCGGGCCAACUGGGGGCCCAAGGCUGGUUAGGAGACACCACUAGAGACACUGUAAUUGUGAUGAACUGAGAGAAUAUUAGCGUAGCACUGUAAUUCAUUAAUUAUAUGCUGUCUGCCUCUUUUCUUCACUCUUUCCCUUUCUGUCUUCUACACCUGUUUCCCCACCUCGUCUUUCUUCCUCGUUUUAUAAUGCACACCAUAUGUGCAUUGAAGUAUAGAUUGAACUUGUAUUUAUAAUACCGAAAACACUCACAAACUUUUACAGAUGAACAAUCGAGAGCAUCCUAUUGGGCUGUAUCUCCGACUGGUAUGAAAACUGCUCCGCCCACAACCGUAAGGCUCUCCAGAGGGUAGUGAGGUCUGCACAACGCAUCAUCGGGGGCAAACUACCUGCCCUUCAGGACACCUACACCACCCGAUGUCACAGGAAGGCAAAAAGAUCAUCAAGGACAACAACCACCUGAGCCUGUUCACCCCGCUAUCAUCCAGAAUGCGAGGUCACUACAGGUGCAUCAAAGCUGGGACUAAGAGACUGAAAAACAGCUUCUAUCUCAAGCCCAUCAGACUGUUAAACAGCCAUCACUAACAUUGGGUGGCUGCUGCCAACAUACUGACUCAAAUCUCUAACCACUUUAAUAAUUACAAAUUGGAUGUAAUAAAUGGAUCACUAGUCACUUUAAACAAUGCCACUUUAUUUAAUGUUUACAUACCCUACAUUACUCAUCUCAUAUGCAUACACUGUACUCUAUACCAUCUACUGCAUCUUGCCUAUGCCGCAUGGCCAUCGCUCAUCCAUAUAUUUAUAUGUACAUAUUCUUAUUAAUUCCUUUACACUUGUGUGUAUAAGGUAGUUGUUUUGAAAUUGUUAGAUUACUUGUUAGAUAUUACUGCACGGUCGGAGCUAGAAGCAAAAGCAUUUUGCUACACUCACAUUAACAUCUGCUAACCAUGUGUAUGUGACCAAUCAAAUUUGCUUUGAUUUGAUUUGAUAUAAUAUUACAAUUAUCGUAAUUACAAUGCAUGCUCU